UGGGGAAUAUUGCACAAUGGGCGGAAGCCUGAUGCAGCGACGCCGCGUGGGGGAUGAAGGCCUUCGGGUUGUAAACUCCUUUCGACAGGGACGAAGCGUAAGUGACGGUACCUGUAUAAGAAGCACCGGCUAACUACGUGCCAGCAGCCGCGGUAAUACGUAGGGUGCGAGCGUUGUCCGGAAUUACUGGGCGUAAAGAGCUCGUAGGUGGUUUGUCGCGUCGUCUGUGAAAUUCCGGGGCUUAACUCCGGGCGUGCAGGCGAUACGGGCUGACUUGUGUGCUGUAGGGGAGACUGGAAUUCCUGGUGUAGCGGUGAAAUGCGCAGAUAUCAGGAGGAAUACCGAUGGCGAAGGCAGGUCUCUGGGCAGUAACUGACGCUGAGGAGCGAAAGCAUGGGUAGCGAACAGGAUUAGAUACCCUGGUAGUCCAUGCCGUAAACGGUGGGCGCUAGGUGUAGGGGGCUUCCACGUCUUCUGUGCCGUAGCUAACGCAUUAAGCGCCCCGCCUGGGGAGUACGGCCGCAAGGCUA
RNAcentral lists this ribosomal RNA (530 nucleotides) under uncultured bacterium. Its description in RNAcentral is "bacterial SSU rRNA". It matches the Rfam family "Bacterial small subunit ribosomal RNA", at positions 355 to 896 of the family's 1533-position model. The record is from RNAcentral.